GGAGAGGUGGCAGAGCGGCUUAAUGCGCUGGAUUGCUAAUCCGGUAUACGCCGUAAAGGCGUAUCGGGGGUUCGAAUCCCCCCCUCUCCG
This 90-nucleotide transfer RNA is filed under the name Kiritimatiella glycovorans. It matches the Rfam family "tRNA". From Rfam's summary of the family: Transfer RNA (tRNA) molecules are approximately 80 nucleotides in length. Their secondary structure includes four short double-helical elements and three loops (D, anti-codon, and T loops). Further hydrogen bonds mediate the characteristic L-shaped molecular structure. tRNAs have two regions of fundamental functional importance: the anti-codon, which is responsible for specific mRNA codon recognition, and the 3' end, to which the tRNAs corresponding amino acid is attached (by aminoacyl-tRNA synthetases). tRNAs cope with the degeneracy of the genetic code in two manners: having more than one tRNA (with a specific anti-codon) for a particular amino acid; and 'wobble' base-pairing, i.e. permitting non-standard base-pairing at the 3rd anti-codon position. The record is from Rfam by way of RNAcentral. Lineage: Bacteria; Pseudomonadati; Kiritimatiellota; Kiritimatiellia; Kiritimatiellales; Kiritimatiellaceae.